This 481-nucleotide ribosomal RNA is filed under the name uncultured bacterium. RNAcentral describes it as "partial 16S ribosomal RNA". It matches the Rfam family "Bacterial small subunit ribosomal RNA", at positions 28 to 523 of the family's 1533-position model. The record is from RNAcentral.
GACGAACGCUGGCGGCGUGCUUAACACAUGCAAGUCGAACGCUGAAGCCCUUCGGGGUGGAUGAGUGGCGAACGGGUGAGUAACACGUGGGUAAUCUGCCCUGCACUCUGGGAUAAGCCUUGGAAACGGGGUCUAAUACCGGAUAGGACACAUCGCCGCAUGGUGUGUGUGUGGAAAGUUCCGGCGGUGCAGGUUGAGCCCGCGGCCUAUCAGGUUGUUGGGGGGGUGAUGGCCUACCAAGGCGACGACGGGUAGCCGGCCUGGGGGGGUGACCGGCCACACUGGGACUGAGACACGGCCCAGACUCCUACGGGAGGCAGCAGUGGGGAAUCUUGCGCAAUGGGCGAAAGCCUGACGCAGCAACGCCGCGUGGGGGAUGACGGCCUUCGGGUUGUAAACCUCUUUCGACCGGGACGAAGGAUUCGUUUGACGGUACCGGUAGAAGAAGCACCGGCUAACUACGUGCCAGCCGCCGCCGUAA